UUUGUGGUACCCCGCUUGACUUAAGCAUAUCAAUAAGCGGAGGAAAAGAAACCAACAGGGAUUGCCCUAGUAACGGCGAGUGAAGCGGCAACAGCUCAAAUUUGAAAUCUGGCUUUCGGGCCCGAGUUGUAAUUUGUAGAGGAUGCUUCUGGCGCGGUGCCUUCCGAGUUCCCUGGAACGGGACGCCUUAGAGGGUGAGAGCCCCGUACGGUCGGACACCAAGCCUGUGUGAAGCUCCUUCGACGAGUCGAGUAGUUUGGGAAUGCUGCUCUAAAUGGGAGGUAAAUUUCUUCUAAAGCUAAAUAUUGGCCAGAGACCGAUAGCGCACAAGUAGAGUGAUCGAAAGAUGAAAAGCACUUUGAAAAGAGGGUUAAACAGCACGUGAAAUUGUUGAAAGGGAAGCGUUUGCGACCAGACUUUUUCCCGGCGGAUCAUCCGGCGUUCUCGCCGGUGCACUUCGCCGGGUCAAGGCCAGCAUCGGUUUCCGGAGGGGGACAAAAGCCUUGGGAACGUGGCUCCUUCGGGAGUGUUAUAGCCCUUUGCAUAAUGCCCCUCUGGGGACCGAGGUUCGCGCAUCUGCAAGGAUGCUGGCGUAAUGGUCGUCAACGACCCGUCUUGAAACACGGACCAAGGAGUCGAACAUUUGUGCGAGUGUUAGGGUGUCAAACCCCUGCGCGUAAUGAAAGUGAACGGAGGUGAGAGCCCUUACGGGUGCAUCAUCGACCGAUCCUGAUGUUUUCGGAUGGAUUUGAGUAAGAGCAUAACUGUUCGGACCCGAAAGAUGGUGAACUAUGCGUGGGUAGGGUGAAGCCAGAGGAAACUCUGGUGGAGGCUCGCAGCGGUUCUGACGUGCAAAUCGAUCGUCAAACCUGCGCAUGGGGGCGAAAGACUAUCGAACCAUCCAAGGGGGGUU
Molecule: ribosomal RNA, 913 nt
Filed under: Cainia graminis
Lineage: Eukaryota; Fungi; Ascomycota; Sordariomycetes; Xylariales; Cainiaceae
Description: eukaryotic LSU rRNA
Rfam family: Eukaryotic large subunit ribosomal RNA
Source: RNAcentral